RNAcentral lists this long non-coding RNA (243 nucleotides) under Gossypium raimondii (Peruvian cotton). RNAcentral describes it as "long non-coding RNA (GRAI_LNC001533)". Lineage: Eukaryota; Viridiplantae; Streptophyta; Magnoliopsida; Malvales; Malvaceae. The record is from RNAcentral.
CUGUAAUUUUCGAAGAUGCUCCAACAAUGAAGUAGCCUUCCGCUUGGCCCUUUCUGUGCCACUCUUGGUGAGCUCCGUCAAUGGUAUGGCAGCACCUAGCCUACUAAUGCAUGCCAGAUUCUCAGCAUCUCUCUUACACAAACAAAGUAAAAUGGCAGCAGCAUUUUCUUUGUUUCUAGGUAAACAUGUUCUCAGAAGAUCGAUCAAAACAGGUAUGGUGCUAGCCUUUACUAUAGCUGCCUU